UGUGUUAACCCUUUUCUACCAGCACAAAAAUAGCUGGUAGAAAAAUCCUCCAAGACCUGCCCCCUGGAAAAGCCCCGCCCCGGUAGGAAAGAGGUCCAAGCCCCCCCAGACACCCAGCACUUGCUGACAACAAGUGCUUCAAAAACAGCACUUAGUUCUCCUGCAAACUGAAUGUAAAUUGAUGAUUUUGAAGUGUGAGUGCAUGGAAGGAUCUCACAGAUCAACAUGUGGUCCAGCCACCUCUGCUGCCCCAGCCUCACCUCCAGCUGAGACUCAGAAGAACAAAACAAAGAACGCUUCGUGGUGGCGCAUGAAGUCUGAGGAUGUUCUGGAGAAGGACUCAGCAGGUCCGAAGCCUCCAGUCUCAGCUGUACCUGAUAAAGAAGCCGUGGCAAGGUCAAAAUGCAGACAGCUACACUGACCUGGUCCUUUCUUCCCUGAACACCCGCGUUCAUCUGCUUAAAUAGUCAAUUCACCCUGGACUAUUCCAUUUGGUAGGUUAACCAGGAAGUUAUAAAUACAGGAAGUAAAACUACAUUUCCUCUCUUUGUUCCUAGAACACAGGUACGUAAGGUGAGUUCAAACUAAACCAAUUAAUAGUUGAAAUAAAUAACAUGUUAACUUAACAAACUUGUCAGAAUUGAUUUAAACCAAGAUGUUAUGUUAUAAAGUGCAAAACAUAAACAAACCUGGGAUAGUAGAUGUUUGCCUGGUGCAGACUACAUAUGAGAUGGGGCUAAAUCAAAACAAGAAUGUUAACUAAGGAUAUGGACAAGUGGUAUUCUCACCCACUUUGUCACACUCUCCUCACACUGAGAGUCAUUACUGAGGAGCUCUGCAGCCAGCUGCAGCUGUGGAGGUUUCACCCAGAGUGCCAGCUCAUCAGUCAGUUUGUGGACAUCAAAUUGAGCCGCUUCAACAACGACAGCUGGAACAAAAGCUCUGUCCUGACUGCUUUUAAAGACACGGUCGCUGUGUCUCAUCCAGAGUUUGACGACGACGAUCAGAAAGAUGCCCACGAGUUCCUCGUCUGUGCUCUGGACGUGCUCCAGUGUGAGUUCUCUAAGCUGCAGGCAGAAGCAGCUGCCUUGGACAAACCUUCCAUCUGUCCAGUUAGAGCUCACAUUGGCUUCACGAUGUUGAGAAUACAGUUGUCUGUAAUCCUGGAGUGGCCAGGGCCUAUUAUAUGCCACAGCCUAAAGGCAGCAGAGUUGCAGAGGCUGGAGUGACCACUGGCUAUAUGCUUGCAGGGUGGUGGGUCUCAGAGGACAACUUCUAACCCCGUUGAAGGCAACAUGUGGAGUGCAACUGACAGUGUGGCAUAGCUGGCUCUGGCCUUGGGACUGUGUGUUUUAUUU
This is a long non-coding RNA of Oreochromis aureus, 1358 nucleotides long. The record is from Ensembl. NCBI's taxonomy places the organism in Eukaryota, Metazoa, Chordata, Actinopteri, Cichliformes, Cichlidae.